Lathyrus oleraceus (garden pea) is the source of this 1342-nucleotide long non-coding RNA. RefSeq lists it as uncharacterized. The transcript is spliced from 3 exons. NCBI's taxonomy places the organism in Eukaryota, Viridiplantae, Streptophyta, Magnoliopsida, Fabales, Fabaceae. The record is from RefSeq and is a predicted model, not a curated record.
GCCUUUAAACCAGUCAACAAAAAUAAAAAGGAACAUAAAAGAUAAUCAAUGCACGUGGGAAGAGAGAGAAAGAUAGGUUUAAACGGAUUGAAACGUGGAACACACAUUCCUCUCUCACCUCCAAUCAACUCAGUUAUCCCACCGUUACCUCCCCGCCGUGCCGGUGGUCGCCUCCGGCGGCAGAGGCACUCUUAAACACCAGUCAAGAACCACAUCUAAACCAUCUCUACACCCUGAGUCUGAAAACACAAGUGGAGUCUCCUAAUUCUCCCUGACUUCCUCAAAUCGAAAAGAAAGAGCUAAAAACCCUAACUGAUAAAAUGUGAAAUUAAAUCCUCACCACCCGGAAUCAAUUCCACCUAGGUGAGGGCUUAGAUUCCCAACGCCGAACCCUACAUUCUUAUAACAAGAAUGAAUCAAAAAGAGUCGUAAAUUGGAUACUCACCGGCAACGAAGACGCAGUGGCACCGGAGUCAGGUGAAGCUAAAUGAAUCAACAUGGAGUUUCUUGCACAAAAGGAGACCUGCUGAACUGGUAAUACAUUGCUUUGACUACAACUUUUGUUAGCUUGGUAUGGGGCUGAUUUUGUUUGUUGCGUGGUACACUAUUAUCCUUCAUUUUGGCAAUAUCAUCUUGAUAUUGAAGCUUGUAAUCACAAGACGACUCAAAGUGAAAAGGUUCAGCAUUCAUUACAUUGCAAUCAUCAGAUGCAAAUCAUGUUUCUGAAUCUUGUUUUGAGGAAGAACCUACUAAGUAUGUUUCCUGAUAAAAAAAUUGAACGUGCAUUUGGAAGCUGCUGUCACAUGGAUUUUUAAAAUUACUUUUGCCAUCAAGAAGAAAACUCUGGGGCUCCCAAAGCAUUCAUUUUUUCUGGCACAUUUCCAGGAGGUAAAGCCUCAGAAGAUUCAUAAUAGGAAAAGAGAGAAGCAUGAGCUCCUUUCCAGCAAGGUUUGCUGCUAUAUUCACACGGAGAUUUAAACCAAAGAAAGAAGCAACCUUCUUUAUAUCAUGGAUUUUUGUGUGUCCAAAGCCUCCAUCUAGAACAAAAUGCCAAGGCUUAAAUCUGUACCUGACCCUUUUAUUGUUUAUCUUGCUGACCCAUGUGUUUGUCACAUACGUCAAUAUAUGAAAAGUGACGGUCCCCUGAACCUACAGCUAAUUUCAAAGGGAGCUCAUGAUGAGUCUCUAGAGACAAUGAAGGAGAUUGCAAAACUGAUGUAUAUGAAAUUAGUUUGUCAAUAACUUGUGUAUGGUUUGUAAUUUUGCUUCAAAUGGAAUGAAUAUGGUUGUAAUUUUGUAAAUGGUUUAUGAUUUGAAUGUGAAUUGUUUUGGUUUAAUGUAA